UACGGAGGAUGCAAGCGUUAUCCGGAUUUAUUGGGUUUAAAGGGUGCGCAGGCGGCGCGUUAAGUCAGCGGUGAAAUGUCCCGGCUCAACCGGGGAGCUGCCGUUGAUACUGGCGUGCUGGAGUGCGAACGGCGCCGGCGGAAUGUGCAAUGUAGCGGUGAAAUGCAUAGAUAUUGCACAGAACACCGAUCGCGAAGGCAGCUGGCGAGGACGCAACUGACGCUGAGGCACGAAGGCGUGGGGAUCGAAC
RNAcentral lists this ribosomal RNA (250 nucleotides) under uncultured prokaryote. Its description in RNAcentral is "partial 16S ribosomal RNA". It matches the Rfam family "Bacterial small subunit ribosomal RNA", at positions 524 to 773 of the family's 1533-position model. The record is from RNAcentral.